UUUCCGUAGGUGAACCCGCGGAAGGAUCAUUACUGAGUGAGGGCCCUCUGGGUCCCACCUCCCACCCGUGUUUGUUAUGCCUGGUUGUUUCGGUGAGCCCGCCGCACGGCCGCCGGGGGGCACCUGCCCCCGGGCCCGCGCCCAGCGAAGACACCUAGAACUCUGUAUGAAGAUUGCAGUCUGAGCAAAAACUAAAUAAGUUAAAACUUUCAACAACGGAUCUCUUGGUUCCG
This 233-nucleotide unclassified non-coding RNA is filed under the name plant metagenome. RNAcentral's name for it is "partial contains small subunit ribosomal RNA, internal transcribed spacer 1, and 5.8S ribosomal RNA". The record is from RNAcentral.